AACCAUUUGAUCUCUUCUCAACAGGUAAUGUUCCAACUGAGAGUUGAGAAAAUCUCAUGACCAUGAAUGAAUUGAUCUGCUUUCUUGAAGUGAUAGUGAAAAUGUGUCCAAGAUCUGUUUAGUUCUAUCUUUUGUAGUUGACGAAUAUAGUGUUUGAGCUGCAUGCUUUGAACAGUGGCCCUCAAUUGUUUUUUAGUGCUGGUGAAUAUUCUGUACUCCUUUUCUCAUGGGAAGCUCAAGUGGGUAAAUUUUUUGGUUUGAUUGACAGAAUGAGAAUUCAGCCAUGU
Molecule: unclassified non-coding RNA, 287 nt
Filed under: Hevea brasiliensis (rubber tree)
Lineage: Eukaryota; Viridiplantae; Streptophyta; Magnoliopsida; Malpighiales; Euphorbiaceae
Source: RNAcentral